Long non-coding RNA from Pseudopipra pipra, 533 nucleotides. RefSeq lists it as uncharacterized. The transcript is spliced from 3 exons. The record is from RefSeq and is a predicted model, not a curated record. NCBI's taxonomy places the organism in Eukaryota, Metazoa, Chordata, Aves, Passeriformes, Pipridae.
AAGUGUGAUUCAUUAUGAUUAUUGCUGGGGUGACAGCCAUUACCAAUCUCAGAAAAGCCUGUUUCAUGCAGCAUCUCUUCAGGAAGGACUUAAUUGGCUUCCAGGAGAAGUGAGGAUGAACAGGGGAGGUGGUUUCAGAGCAAAAUGCAGGUGGAAAUGCCAAUAAGGGAACUAAUCACCUGUCUGUAAGGAUGACUUUAAAAGAUGGAGACACUGCCCAUCAUGAGCACCACUGGGACUCAUCAACUCUGUUUGAACAGGCUGCUGGUAAGCACCAGGAGAUGCCACCGGACGGGAUAAAAAAAAUCCCCCAAACUAUGGAUCCAACCUGUCAAACCCACAGCUUGCCCACAAAGAAGUCGGUGGGAAUUGUACGUGCUCAGCACUUCUGGAGAAAGACAGGCAAGGCCGUGCAAGUCUCUAAGCAGGCAGUAGGUCAGCCUACAUUGAAAUGGACAGCUAUUUUCUUUACACAGAGGGACCACCACGUUGCAAAUGGUGCCUACAAAACGUAUGCCUUUGUGGCGGGGUGG